GGUAGUGUGGCUGAGUGGUCUAAGGCGCUGGAUUACAGCUCCUGUCUCUUUGGGGGUGUGGGUUUGAAUCCCACCGCUGUCA
Non-coding RNA from Megalops cyprinoides (Indo-Pacific tarpon), 82 nucleotides. The record is from the annotation of a RefSeq genome assembly. Lineage: Eukaryota; Metazoa; Chordata; Actinopteri; Elopiformes; Megalopidae.